Molecule: ribosomal RNA, 343 nt
Filed under: Salmonella enterica
Lineage: Bacteria; Pseudomonadati; Pseudomonadota; Gammaproteobacteria; Enterobacterales; Enterobacteriaceae
Also listed under: 1 other name
Description: partial 23S ribosomal RNA
Rfam family: Bacterial large subunit ribosomal RNA
Source: RNAcentral
AGACCCGAAACCCGGUGAUCUAGCCAUGGGCAGGUUGAAGGUUGGGUAACACUAACUGGAGGACCGAACCGACUAAUGUUGAAAAAUUAGCGGAUGACCUGUGGCUGGGGGUGAAAGGCCAAUCAAACCGGGAGAUAGCUGGUUCUCCCCGAAAGCUAUUUAGGUAGCGCCUCGUGAAUUCAUCUCCGGGGGUAGAGCACUGUUUCGGCUAGGGGGCCAUCCCGGCUUACCAACCCGAUGCAAACUGCGAAUACCGGAGAAUGUUAUCACGGGAGACACACGGCGGGUGCUAACGUCCGUCGUGAAGAGGGAAACAACCCAGACCGCCAGCUAAGGUCCCAAA